RNAcentral lists this unclassified non-coding RNA (1711 nucleotides) under Hevea brasiliensis (rubber tree). Lineage: Eukaryota; Viridiplantae; Streptophyta; Magnoliopsida; Malpighiales; Euphorbiaceae. The record is from RNAcentral.
AUUUCAAGUUACAAGACAGAUAUAUCUCCCAUCAUUUCCAGAAUACUACACUAAGAAAUUUAACUCACAUUUACACUGUAAUUGAUCAAGAAAUUAGUAUGCAAAAUACUGAAAUGUCAAGUCAUAAUAUAGCUCACAACUCACAAGAACCAUUUUGCAUCUACAAUAUAUAUCACAGAAUUCAUUAGGGUGAAGAUUUUGGAAAAAAAAAAGUUGGGAUUAAAGAAUCAACUGAUAUGUGAAAUGUCAACUUCCUCAGGAAUUUUGAAUGUGUCUGCUGCCCCGAAUUUUCUCUGUUCUUCCACGACUGAAUCAUCCUCUUCGCCAUCACUAUCUCCGUCAUCACAAUCAUGAUUGACAUGACCUGAAGGGUCGUGUACACUUUUGGAUCUGCAAUCGUGGGUAGCAAGCAUCUUAACUUGGCCAAGAUGCGCGAUUUCUACCACAACUGUGUCAUCAUCUACGGGGAGAGGCUGCUUCCAUGGUUCUCCAUCGAUCCUCAUGAACGUGUGGUCAGCUGCACCCUUAUGAAACUCAAACCGGAUACGAUGUGCCUGUGCAAGCCGUGUCCCAUGUCCAUUUGGAGCAAGAAGUACCAUUCCAUGCCAAGCAUUUCUAAAGCCAACAACCUCAAUGAGGCCAUCAUCAACAUAUGGAGGAGUCAAGUCCCUAUCUCGGCGUUUGUUGCUAUUUGGUGUUCCCCAAGGAUUUAGUCCACCAGAAAAGCUAGGCAAGUUUAGGCACACAAUUGACCUGAUACUGGGAGGGAUGUCAAGGUCUUGCCAUUCGCCGUGCUUUUUCAUUAUCUUAACUUUGGCCAGUUGAGCUAUGUUCCUUGAAGAAGGAUGAACAAGGGAUGCAAAAAACCAUCCUUGCGUACAACCAAGCCUUGCAUAUGUACUCUGAUUGACAAGCUGGUUUUUGAAUUUUUCAGGAUGCAUCUUUCGUUCUGAAUGAAAUGCAUAUGACACUUGUGCAUCCAUCCCCAUGCUGAAAUAAUUCCAGAAUCCUCCACGAAAUGUAUGGCAUCCUUCCACAUUAAGAUCAUCAGAAGGAGCCACCCGGUGAAACGCAUGCAACGAAUGAGGCAAUUCAAGUGGUGCAAUAGGAUCACAGCAACCCUCUUUUGGUGCUCUCAUCCUCAUUAGAAUGUGCCAACUGUCUAUCUUCAUUUCUUUUGCAUCCAUCACUUUCUUCAAGAAUGAGAUAACCGAGUUUUGGUCGGUUCCUGGAUUCUUCUUUCCCCAGCCAAAAGAGAAUGGAAGGUUGUUUCCAGUUCCCAAAGGCACAGUAGCAAUUGGUGGUGGCUGAGAUAGUUUGAGAUCAGAUACAACUCCAAGAAGCCAGCCAGCUGUGCCAUCGCCACAAUAAUCCUCAAUCUCUCCUCAAGUUUCACGGCAAAUUUAUCACCAUUGCUCUUUAGCUUUUCUAGAUUCAGAUAGAGUCUGCGUAAAACACUAUCAGGAGUUUCUUUUCCCAAAUCAAAAACCUGAUCUUUGUUAAGAAGUGAUUGAUAUGUAUUAAGAAGAUCUCCACCAAGUUGACCUCCACUUUUAGAGUUGAUGAAUACUAGCACGGGACAUGUAGGCACAUCAGGCAAUUUUACAUCAUCACUCCGACUUGCAUCCUCUGAAAGUAUAUAGGUAGGGAUAUAAAAAUCUUUCUUGAUGUCCUCAUUAAAAUUGCUUUCGGAAGUGGCCAUAACUAGCUG